This 30-nucleotide non-coding RNA is filed under the name Homo sapiens (human). Lineage: Eukaryota; Metazoa; Chordata; Mammalia; Primates; Hominidae. The record is from RNAcentral.
GGACAUGUCUGUGAGCCACUCCCUCAUAGC